GCUAGGUGCAGUAGCACAUACCGGUAGUCUCAGCUACUCUGGAGGCUGAGGCAGGAAGAUUGCUUAAAUCUAGGACUUUUGGGCAAUAGAGCACUAUAUUGAUCUGGUGUCCACACAAAAUUAAGCAUCAAUAUGGUGAUCUGGGGGCAUUUCCAGGUUGUCAAAGGAGGGGUGAACUAGCCCAGGUCAGAAAUGGAGCAUGUUGAAACUACUGAUCCUGUGCUUAUCAGUAGUGGGAUUGUUCCUGUGUAUAGCCACUGAACUCCAACCUGUGCAACGUAAUGAGACCCUGUCCCUU
Otolemur garnettii (small-eared galago) is the source of this 298-nucleotide non-coding RNA. NCBI's taxonomy places the organism in Eukaryota, Metazoa, Chordata, Mammalia, Primates, Galagidae. The record is from Rfam.